GGGGGCGUACCGGAUUUCGACGGGGAAUUGAAGCCCUGAUGUGCGAGCAGUGCGCAAAUCACUUUAACUUGCAAUUUUAAAUUUAAACGCUGAUUCUAACGAAUUGGUCGCUGCCUAAUUAGGCAGCCGUUCCCUCACGGAGGACUGCGGCCGUGAAUGGAGCGUCGACAAGCAGUGAACGUUACUUGACGGUGUCGCGAGUCAUUUAAUGAACAAUUGCGGCUAUAGCGGCUACGGAUUUGUCUCUUGUUCCCAACCGCCGAACUCAAACAACCGACUACGCUCGUAGUACAGCUCGGUAACGGCUCUUCGGACACGGGUUCAA
Molecule: transfer-messenger RNA, 325 nt
Filed under: Clostridia bacterium
Lineage: Bacteria; Bacillati; Bacillota; Clostridia
Description: partial transfer-messenger RNA
Rfam family: transfer-messenger RNA
About the family: Bacterial tmRNA, also known as 10Sa RNA or SsrA, is named for its dual tRNA and mRNA-like properties. Its role is to liberate the mRNA from a stalled ribosome.
Source: RNAcentral